GAUGAACGCUGGCGGCGUGCUUAACACAUGCAAGUCGAACGAAGCACUUUAUUUGAUUUCCUUCGGGACUGAUUAUUUUGUGACUGAGUGGCGGACGGGUGAGUAACGCGUGGGUAACCUGCCUUGUACGGGGGGAUAACAGUUGGAAACGGCUGCUAAUACCGCAUAAGCGCACAGCAUCGCAUGAUGCAGUGUGAAAAACUCCGGUGGUAUAAGAUGGACCCGCGUUGGAUUAGCUAGUUGGUGAGGUAACGGCCCACCAAGGCGACGAUCCAUAGCCGACCUGAUAGGGUGACCGGCCACAUUGGGACUGAGACACGGCCCAAACUCCUACGGGAGGCAGCAGUGGGGAAUAUUGCACAAUGGGCGAAAGCCUGAUGCAGCGACGCCGCGUGAGCGAAGAAGUAUUUCGGUAUGUAAAGCUCUAUCAGCAGGGAAGAUAAUGACGUUACCUGACUAAGAAGCACCGGCUAAAUACGUG
Molecule: ribosomal RNA, 481 nt
Filed under: uncultured bacterium
Lineage: Bacteria
Description: partial 16S ribosomal RNA
Rfam family: Bacterial small subunit ribosomal RNA
Source: RNAcentral